RNAcentral lists this non-coding RNA (86 nucleotides) under unclassified sequences. The record is from RNAcentral.
UUGAAUCUGCCACCGGGUAGAAAACAAAAGCAUUUGUUACAUAUCGUUAGGUCUUUGAAGAUAUGUAAAUAAAUGCUUAUUUUUUU